This is a non-coding RNA of Bacteroidetes bacterium OLB10, 107 nucleotides long. NCBI's taxonomy places the organism in Bacteria, Pseudomonadati, Bacteroidota. The record is from Rfam.
UGUGCCCGGGUAAGUCUUAUACGACCAGCUCCCCCGAACCUCCCCAGGGCAGGAAUGCAGCAAGGAUAAGGGGUUGUAGCGGUGCGAUAUAAGUAGCUUACCCUUUU